GAAAUGCGAUAAGUUAUGUGAAUUGCAGAAUUCAGUGAAUCAUCGAAUCUUUGAACGCACCUUGCGCUCCUUGGUAUUCCUUGGAGCAUGCCUGUUUGAGUAUCAUGAAAUCUUCAAAGUAAAUAUUUUGUUAACUCAAUUGGUUUCUACUUUGGUAUUGGAGGUCUUUGCAGCUUCACACCUGCUCCUCUUUGUUCAUUAGCUGGAUCUCAGUGUUAUGCUUGGUUCCACUCGGCGUGAUAAGUUAUCUAUCGCUGAGGACACUGUAAAAGGUGGCCAAGGUAAAUGCAGAUGAACCGCUUCUAAUAGUCCAUUGACUUGGACAAUACUUUUAUGAUCUGAUCUCAAAUCAGGUAGGACUACCCGCUGAACUUAAGC
This 378-nucleotide unclassified non-coding RNA is filed under the name plant metagenome. RNAcentral's name for it is "partial contains 5.8S ribosomal RNA, internal transcribed spacer 2, and large subunit ribosomal RNA". The stretch from base 1 to 105 matches the Rfam family "5.8S ribosomal RNA", at positions 50 to 154 of the family's 154-position model. The record is from RNAcentral.